GGGCGCUUAGUGGAGUGGUUACCACGUUGGUCUUCGACGCAUCCCUCUAGGGAUUGAUUGGUCAACCAAAGUUCGUCAGUUCGAUCCUGGCAGUGCUCA
Molecule: transfer RNA, 99 nt
Filed under: Ceratobasidium sp. 428
Lineage: Eukaryota; Fungi; Basidiomycota; Agaricomycetes; Cantharellales; Ceratobasidiaceae
Description: tRNA-Arg
Rfam family: tRNA
About the family: Transfer RNA (tRNA) molecules are approximately 80 nucleotides in length. Their secondary structure includes four short double-helical elements and three loops (D, anti-codon, and T loops). Further hydrogen bonds mediate the characteristic L-shaped molecular structure. tRNAs have two regions of fundamental functional importance: the anti-codon, which is responsible for specific mRNA codon recognition, and the 3' end, to which the tRNAs corresponding amino acid is attached (by aminoacyl-tRNA synthetases). tRNAs cope with the degeneracy of the genetic code in two manners: having more than one tRNA (with a specific anti-codon) for a particular amino acid; and 'wobble' base-pairing, i.e. permitting non-standard base-pairing at the 3rd anti-codon position.
Source: RNAcentral